Molecule: long non-coding RNA, 523 nt
Filed under: Gallus gallus (chicken)
Lineage: Eukaryota; Metazoa; Chordata; Aves; Galliformes; Phasianidae
Description: long non-coding RNA NONGGAT012018
Source: RNAcentral
AAUUGGAUGAGGAAAUCUUUUCUCUGCUGGGGAAGUCACUCCCAGCCAGUAAGCCCUGGGGUUUCCAAGAACCCUGCUGCUGAGAGAUGGGUGAGAGAGAGCAGGACGGGCUCAGGAGGAAUGCAGAUCUGGGCUGAGUCCAGUGUCCAGCAGGGGCAAAGAGCCCCUGUAAUGUGGCUCUGCUCCCAGGGUGGCAGUGAGUGUGGGUGAGCACAGCCAAGGAGCUCUGCCACUGCUGCUUAUCUGCACAGUCACAAAGAUGAUGAUGUGGUGUUCUCUUGCUUCCCACAUGCAGUGAGCGUGUAUGAUCCAGUGUUGCUGGCUCAGCGCAGGGCAUUUCAAGCUGUGAGGGCAGAAAGAAUACACAGGGAGCAGGAGAGGAGAAAGCAUAGAGUUAGAGUCAGGUUCCUGUCACAAGUUGAGCCGGUGAAUGUUGAAGAACUGAAACAACCAAAACCUCCAGAUCAGCCAAAGCCCUCUGCCAGUGCCAAGCAGCCCUCCAGAACGGUACACCAGAAGCAUU